This 2087-nucleotide long non-coding RNA is filed under the name Musa acuminata (dwarf banana). Its description in RNAcentral is "long non-coding RNA (MACU_LNC004256)". The record is from RNAcentral. Lineage: Eukaryota; Viridiplantae; Streptophyta; Magnoliopsida; Zingiberales; Musaceae.
CAAAGGCUUGCUUUACUCAUAUGGAUCGAGAUGACAAAGAUAGAGGGUGGGAAGCAGAGGAGAAACCACACAAGAAGAUAUCUGAAAGCAUUGGGUGUAGCACUAGGUGAUUGUGGUAUUCUCUCUCUCUCUCUCUCUCUCUCUCUCUCUCUCUCUCUCUCUUUCAGAGACACACACACACACACACACAUUGAGAUUAAACAAGGUCACUGGCAAGGAGAAAAAACCAAAGAGAAACGGCUACCAUUUGAGACAAAGAGGGGUCGUAUGCUGAGGUCUGCACUGAUGAGAAAAACAAGUGGCGUCUUUUACGUGGUUUGCACAUGGGGAAAAGUCAUGUGAAAGAUGGACAUGUCUUCGAGUAUACCGUGAUGCCUGGCAGUCUUAAGGUUUUAGAAUUAGGAAACAGCUGUAACAAAGUGUUCAGAUGACAGAGAAGUAAAGCAGGAAGAAGAACAUGAGCUCUACUACUUCCAUGGCGAAGGCAGUAUGGGAUGAACGAGUCAUGGGGAGGCAUGAGCAGAACCCAACCAGUCGGGUGGUGGAAAAGUGAGAUUGGGAUAGGGGUCUACUUGGAAGCGACACACCACAUGCAUGCACAUGGUGUGCCCAAGGCCCGCUGCCUCAAACAUCUCCUCUAUUGUACUCCAACAUGCAAAACCAUGGCACAUAUUUCCAUCUGAAUUGAAACAACAACCAUGCACAAGCAAGAAUAUAGGAUCUCCCUAGCAACACAACACAUUCAAAGGACAAGCCCCUGCUACAGGUAAGAAUGAUUUUAACUUGUGAGAAUUCAACAAGGAUGAACAUUGGCACUGUACAGUAUACAAGUAUACGAUGGUAUGCCACAGCAUGAGGACAUAAAAAGUCUCCAUCACAAAAUGCAGGUUAAUGUUGAACAGGAAUAUCCAUGCAAAUUAUAUGUUCUUCAACAAAAACUAAUAAAUGGCUUUGUGACAGUAUAUUGACGUUUCAAUAUCAUGUUUGAAGAUUGCAUGAUGCAUAACAGAAGAUCCAUUUUUGAAAGAAGAUUUCCAAUGAGAAAAAAAAAAUGUUAUUUAGGUUGAUCGAAUCACCUUAACACCAUUUUCUGAGGUGAUUUCGUCUUUCACUGACCUCAGACAGACAGACGGAUACAACAGCUCUGCAAGAGAUCAUGUCAUCCAGAAAAAAGUAGGUCAGCAAGACGAGGGAAAUAUGAUGGUGGAUGUGGGUGCUCAACCUUUUCUUUCUAACCCCAGUGGACUUUGGGUAAAGGAAAUCAAGUCCCACAUGGUAUCCACAUGGAAGCGUGUCAUCUCUGUAGCUCCACAUGACUCCCUGCUCUUCCCAACUUCAUCUCCUGAAAGAAAGAAAGAAAGAAAGAAGCAAUGAUCAUGGUCUCAAGUGUACAUGCCUUUGAGCAUUCGCAUCAUAUUACAUAUCCUUUUGUUUCUUUACUUCUAGGAAUGGCUCUCUUGAUUAUUGACAUCAGGGACCAUUGCUUUGGUAGAACAAAAGCAUACUUGUUCAAAGUAUUACUUUGUCUUGAGACAAUGAAGAACUGAAUCUGUCCUUUGUUGUGGACAAAGAGCAUGGAAACAAGCCAACAACCAUAGAUUUUGGAUUUCUUAUUACCAAGGCUUGGUAAUUCCUUGAAGGAAUUUACAGCUGCUCCUAUGUACAGGCAACAAUUAAGCAGAGCUUACGACACAACUCAUGAAUUAAUAGAUCAUUGAUAUGACUAGAAUGAAACCUUGAUUCCACUUUUUUUCUCUUGAAAUAAUUCUACAGAUUUUUAUUUCUGAUUUGAUGGUUUUUUUUCAUGACCCAGGCAGGAAAGCUGAUCAACUGUUAACUUCCCAGGAAUCUAAUGCAUCUGCAGAGCUUCCACACUUCCCGAAGUUGGAAGGACAAAUGAGAAUCACCUUCAAUGGCCCUUUACAGCAUGUGGGUCCUUGCACCUUGCCCUAUACCAUUACAAGGAUUAUUUUAUCUAUGCUACCCUUAACUAAGGACCACAUGAUAAGGUACAUAUUACUAGUACUGAAAUGUGUGCUUAGGGGGUGCCUUAAACCACAUUGUUCUCUCACAUGGAUGGGCUCCCC